This 1503-nucleotide ribosomal RNA is filed under the name Triticum aestivum (bread wheat). RNAcentral describes it as "partial small subunit ribosomal RNA". The record is from RNAcentral. Lineage: Eukaryota; Viridiplantae; Streptophyta; Magnoliopsida; Poales; Poaceae.
AUGGACCACACGGAGGCUCUGCCGGACGACGUGCUCGCAGCCAUCCUCAGCCGCCCCACGCGGCGGGACCUGGCGGCUUGCCGCCGCGUGCGUAGGGUGUGGCUCGCCAUCGUGGACGGGCAGCGGCUGCUGCCGCGCAACCACCACCUGCCGGACUCGGUCGAGGGGAUCUUCACCAACUACUGCAGCUACGACCGCCCGCACUUCCUCGGCCGCCCCUCCACGCGGCACCCCGGCGUUGACUACGGCAAUCUGCACUUCCUGCCCGGCUACGCGGAGGACAACAACAAGAUCCUGGACCACUGCAACGGCCUCCUCCUCUAUGGCGACGGCUACAACCUCUCCAACUGUGGCGGCAUGAGGGUGUUUUGCGUGGUUAACCCCGCCACACGACGGUGGGAGCGCCUCCUGGGGACGCCUGACGAAGAAAGCUCCACCGCGUACCUGACGUUUGAUCCUACAGUGUCGCCGCACUACACAGUGUUCUUGAUACAACCUAAGGAUCUAGGACUGUUCAACGUGAGGGACUGCGAGUCGGCAGAAGUAUUGCCAGAACAGCUCAUCGAGGAAAACUUCACGAUAAGUUGGUCUUCACGGAGCACGAGCAUGGACAUGGAGGCGCCACCACACUCGACCGAAUGGCCGCCGCCUGAGUUGGUGCUAGAUGUUUUCUCAUCGAGCACGGGACAAUGGCAGAGGAGGUCCUUUGCUAGGGAAGGUGGUGCUAUGACGAGAGCUGUAAAUUUGCGGGGUAGAGUGUGGUUCAUGUACAUGUUUCUGGUGUCAACAUGCAGAUGGCGCUACGGCGUGUACUGUCAUGGAGCAUUACAUGUGCUACUUUACGGCGGUGCAUUUGUCACCAGGUUCUCAUUGCCUAGUGGCAAAUAUAAAGUAAUAAGAACUCCAAUAGAUGCCAAUGAAGGCAAAGUUAGGAGGCAUUAUCUCGGAAGAUUGGAGGAGGAUGUGUACUUUGCAAAGAUCCAUGAUCAAAUCCGGAUUUGGACCCUGAGUGAAUCAAGCGGUCAGGUAGACUGGGUGUUCAAGAAUAGCAUUGACCUUGCAAAUAUAUCUUCACUCAGCCCGAAAGGAAUUUGCAAGCCUUGGAUCUUAGAUAACAAUCAUGUUCUCGACAAAUAUGGAAAUAACAAAAGCCUAGCGGGGCAAUGUUUUGAUUGGAGCUGGGACGAUGAUAAUAUUCUUAACACAAAUGAGCGUGGACAUCUUCGUGGAAACUUUCUAAUUGGAUUUCAUCCCUGUAAAGAGACAGCCUUCUUCUUGGUGGGGUAUUAUGAUGUAGUGGCUUACCAUUUGAACACCUCAAAAGUUCAGUACAUAGGUUAUCUCCGUCCAAACUCUGACUGCCCAACAUUGGGAAUAGACGAGUCAUUUCUAUACACACCUUGCAUGAUCGGAGAUAUUCCACUAAGUGCCUACUCCAAUAAAAAUGAAGAGGAAGCAGAUGAUGAAUAUGAAUACGAAUAUGAAGAUGAUGAUGAAGAUUAA